RNAcentral lists this long non-coding RNA (1074 nucleotides) under Salmo salar (Atlantic salmon). RNAcentral's name for it is "lncRNA (ENSSSAG00000099643.1)". The record is from RNAcentral. Lineage: Eukaryota; Metazoa; Chordata; Actinopteri; Salmoniformes; Salmonidae.
GAGAGUAACACCCCCAAAAAUGUUUGGAAAAAUUCAGAAGGUCUAAUUAAAAUCCAUCCUGUUGCAGAAGAGGUCAAAUAAAACCCUUUAGACAAAAGACUUGGUCUAAUCUUUAUACAUGAUAAUAGUCACCGUUAAGAUACACAUUUGUAUACUACGAGAACAACACAGAAGAUAGAGAUACUGAAACUUUUUACUGGUUUACCUAACCUGCAGGUUGGGGAAGAGCUGGUCAUGGGUUUGUCUUCAGGGAAGCCCGGCAUACAGAGUUUGAACCACCCUGUCACAGGGGGCUGGCCAAGCAUAGAAACACUUUCUAGUGUUUCUCUUUGAGACGAAUUCAAUAUGGCCGCCAAACAUGGUAGUGUUUUAUAUACACCGACAACUUUCUAAGGGGUACAUCCUAGGUUGUGUCCCAUUCUACCGUCGAGCAGAAGUAAAGUGAUGUUUGCCCAUCAAUGUGAGCACUGGUAAGAGUUUUGGAGGGUGGCUGUUGUUAGCUUGAUCUGGCUCUAGCUCCCUCUGCCUUGCUCAGUGAAGACAAACCCUCUGAACAAAAGCCUUUCCAUGCGCAACUCGUAAAGAUUCAUUAUUGCUUACAGGAACAAAGCAUUUUGUGUACAUGGACACACAGUGCAGAGUCAUGGAGAGCAAUGGAGUGGCAUAGGAAAAGGAAGGGGAGAGAGGGGAACAGACCUGAACAGCGUGGUCUGUUUCUGUCAGCUGGGGAAGGGUCAUACUGGCAUGGGGGUUAAAAGGGAAGGGUCAUACUGGCAUGGGGGUUAAAAGGGAAGGGUCAUACUGGCAUGAUGGGGUAAAAGGGAAGGGUCAUACUGGCAUGGGGGUUAAAAGGGAAGGGUCAUACUGGCAUGGGGGUUAAAAGGGAAGGGUCAUACUGGCAUGGGGGGUAAAAGGGAAGGGUCAUAUAGACAUGGGGGGGUAGAAGGGAAGGGUCAUACUGGCAUGGAGGUUAAAAGGGAAGGGUCAUACUGGCAUGGGGGUUAAAAGGGAAGGGUCAUACUGGCAUGAUGGGGUAAAAGGGAAGGGUCAUACUGGCAUGGGGGGUAGAAGGGA